AGGCUGAGAACAGUAGAAUUAUUCAGAUUUCAAUGUGUAAAAUAUUUAUCAUUAUGUUACACUUCAAUUUUCAGAUGUAGGUGUUCCUAUAGGGGUCUGUGACUCCAUGGAAGUGGUAACACAAGCUCUUAUGACUGAUGAUCUUUCUUGUGGACUCCAGGAAGCUCUGAAGGCUUUACACAAUCACUAGGUUCUUCUGUGCUUGUUAGCAAAUAACUGUGAUGAACUUGGCUACUCAAAACUUGAGGCUCUGCAUCAGAUCAAGCUCCUGAAAGUUGACUCUCACAAGAAGUUAGGAAUGGGUUGAUGAUGCAGGAUUAGCCCUGAAGAGGAAGGACUUGCAAGAUCAUAAGCUGCUUAUGCCUGCCUUGCCUGACUGAUAGAGAGACCCAGGCUUAUGAUAGUCAGUAUUUCAGCUUUAAGGUGUGCAGUGACAGUGCAAAAGUUCACCAAGUUCAGUGAUAAAUCAGAACUGUUGGAUCUUGUUUUGCUUUUAAGUAGUUAUAUCUUCACAUUGAUAUAAGAUAAAAAAUAAAGAUUGAAAUUUAAAA
This is a non-coding RNA of Cherax quadricarinatus, 551 nucleotides long. NCBI's taxonomy places the organism in Eukaryota, Metazoa, Arthropoda, Malacostraca, Decapoda, Parastacidae. The record is from RefSeq and is a predicted model, not a curated record.